UAGAGUUUGAUCCUGGCUCAGGACGAACGCUGGCGGCGUGCCUAACACAUGCAAGUCGAGCGAAGUAUAUUUAAGUGAAGUUUUCGGAUGGAACUUAAAUAUAUCUUAGCGGCGGACGGGUGAGUAACGCGUGAGCAACCUGCCUUUCACAAAGGGAUAGCCUCGGGAAACUGGGAUUAAUACCAUAUGAAACUUAACUUUCGCAUGAAAGAUAAGUCAAAGCGAAUAAGCGGUGAAAGAUGGGCUCGCGUCCUAUUAGCUAGUUGGUGAGGUAACGGCUCACCAAGGCGACGAUAGGUAGCCGGCCUGAGAGGGUGAACGGCCACACUGGAACUGAGACACGGUCCAGACUCCUACGGGAGGCAGCAGUGGGGGAUAUUGCACAAUGGAGGAAACUCUGAUGCAGCGACGCCGCGUGAGUGAAGAAGGCCUUCGGGUCGUAAAGCUCUGUCCUAGGGGAAGAUAAUGACGGUACCCUAGGAGGAAGCCCCGGCUAACUACGUGCCAGCCGCCGCGGUAAUUCA
RNAcentral lists this ribosomal RNA (524 nucleotides) under Clostridiaceae bacterium 3bR. RNAcentral describes it as "bacterial SSU rRNA". It matches the Rfam family "Bacterial small subunit ribosomal RNA", at positions 1 to 527 of the family's 1533-position model. Lineage: Bacteria; Bacillati; Bacillota; Clostridia; Eubacteriales; Clostridiaceae. The record is from RNAcentral.